GGCGGCGUAGCCAAGUGGUUAAGGCGGGGGUCUGCAAAACCCCUAUACAGCGGUUCAACUCCGCUCGCCGCCUCCA
RNAcentral lists this transfer RNA (76 nucleotides) under Chloroflexota bacterium. RNAcentral's name for it is "Chloroflexi bacterium (marine metagenome) tRNA-Cys". It matches the Rfam family "tRNA". From Rfam's summary of the family: Transfer RNA (tRNA) molecules are approximately 80 nucleotides in length. Their secondary structure includes four short double-helical elements and three loops (D, anti-codon, and T loops). Further hydrogen bonds mediate the characteristic L-shaped molecular structure. tRNAs have two regions of fundamental functional importance: the anti-codon, which is responsible for specific mRNA codon recognition, and the 3' end, to which the tRNAs corresponding amino acid is attached (by aminoacyl-tRNA synthetases). tRNAs cope with the degeneracy of the genetic code in two manners: having more than one tRNA (with a specific anti-codon) for a particular amino acid; and 'wobble' base-pairing, i.e. permitting non-standard base-pairing at the 3rd anti-codon position. Lineage: Bacteria; Bacillati; Chloroflexota. RNAcentral also lists the same sequence under 1 other name. The record is from RNAcentral.